This 497-nucleotide ribosomal RNA is filed under the name uncultured bacterium. Its description in RNAcentral is "partial 16S ribosomal RNA". It matches the Rfam family "Bacterial small subunit ribosomal RNA", at positions 28 to 507 of the family's 1533-position model. The record is from RNAcentral.
GAUGAACGCUGGCGGCGUGCCUAAUACAUGCAAGUCGAGCGAACAGAUGAGGAGCUUGCUCCUCUGACGUUAGCGGCGGACGGGUGAGUAACACGUGGAUAACCUACCUAUAAGACUGGGAUAACUUCGGGAAACCGGAGCUAAUACCGGAUAAUAUAUUGAACCGCAUGGUUCAAUAGUGAAAGACGGUUUUGCUUUCACUUAUAGAUGGAUCCGCGCCUCAUUAGCUAGUUGGUAAGGUAACGGCUUACCAAGGCAACGAUGCGUAGCCGACCUGAGAGGGUGAUCGGCCACACUGGAACUGAGACACGGUCCAGACUCCUACGGGAGGCAGCAGUAGGGAAUCUUCCGCAAUGGGCGAAAGCCUGACGGAGCAACGCCGCGUGAGUGAUGAAGGUCUUCGGAUCGUAAAACUCUGUUAUUAGGGAAGAACAAAUGUGUAAGUAACUAUGCACGUCUUGACGGUACCUAAUCAGAAAGCCACGGCUAACUACGUG